RNAcentral lists this ribosomal RNA (464 nucleotides) under uncultured bacterium. Its description in RNAcentral is "bacterial SSU rRNA". It matches the Rfam family "Bacterial small subunit ribosomal RNA", at positions 339 to 795 of the family's 1533-position model. The record is from RNAcentral.
CUACGGGGUGCAGCAGUGGGGAAUAUUGCACAAUGGGCGCAAGCCUGAUGCAGCCAUGCCGCGUGUAUGAAGAAGGCCUUCGGGUUGUAAAGUACUUUCAGCGGGGAGGAAGGCGAUAAGGUUAAUAACCUUGUCGAUUGACGUUACCCGCAGAAGAAGCACCGGCUAACCCCGUGCCAGCAGCCGCGGUAAUACGGAGGGUGCAAGCGUUAAUCGGAAUUACUGGGCGUAAAGCGCACGCAGGCGGUCUGUCAAGUCGGAUGUGAAAUCCCCGGUCUUAACCUGGGAACUGCAUUCGAAACUGGCAGGCUGGAGUCUUGUAGAGGGGGGUAGAAUUCCAGGUGUAGCGGAGAAAUGCGUAGAGAUCUGGAGGAAUACCGGUGGCGAAGGCGGCCCCCUGGACAAAGACUGACGCUCAGGUGCGAAAGCGUGGGGAGCAAACAGGAUUAGAUACCCGCGUAGUC